UCGUGCUAGAUGGGGAAUUAGCGGUGCCCUGUAACCUGCAAUCCGCUAUAGCAGGAUCGAGGCUUGUAUGCGGCAAAUGCUGAGCUUCGUACUCAAAUUAAGUGGUGAUGAAGUUUCAAUUCUUCGCAAUGGUUUUACACUAAACCCCGUCAGGACCGGAAGGGAGCAGCGGUAGGUGACUAGAAUUGUGUGCCGGAGAACCCCUGGAAUGGAGCCAACUGGUUCGGUGUAUGUUGUCCCCAGAUUUGUCAAAUUCGAGUGCACGA
Molecule: signal recognition particle RNA, 266 nt
Filed under: Fidelibacterota bacterium
Lineage: Bacteria; Pseudomonadati; Fidelibacterota
Description: signal recognition particle sRNA large type
Rfam family: Bacterial large signal recognition particle RNA
About the family: The signal recognition particle (SRP) is a universally conserved ribonucleoprotein involved in the co-translational targeting of proteins to membranes. Archaeal SRP consists of a 7S RNA and homologues of the eukaryotic SRP19 and SRP54 proteins. In most bacteria, the SRP consists of a 4.5S RNA and the Ffh protein (a homologue of the eukaryotic SRP54 protein).
Source: RNAcentral